This 256-nucleotide ribosomal RNA is filed under the name uncultured bacterium. RNAcentral's name for it is "partial 16S ribosomal RNA". It matches the Rfam family "Bacterial small subunit ribosomal RNA", at positions 524 to 776 of the family's 1533-position model. The record is from RNAcentral.
UACGAAGGGUGCAAGCGUUAAUCGGAAUUACUGGGCGUAAAGCGUGCGUAGGCGGUUUGUACAGUCAGAUGUGAAAUUCCUGGGCUCAACCUGGGGGGCUGCAUUUGAUACGUAUGGACUGGAGUGAGGAAGAGGGUCGUGGAAUUCCCAGUGUAGAGGUGAAAUUCGUAGAUAUUAGGAAGAACACCAGUGGCGAAGGCGGCUCACUGGUCCGGUACUGACGCUGAGGUGCGAAAAGCGUGGGGGAGCAAACAGG